UGCAGCCAUGUUUUGAGCCAAAUAUCAUCCGUAUCAAUUUUAUCAGAUUUAUCUCUUCCACCGCCUUCACCAUUUCAUUUUAUCAGAUUUAUCUCUGCUACCGCCUUCGUCAUUUCAUUUCCGAAAAAAUUGACAAAAACGCAGCAAACUUUGAUUCUCAUUUUUUUUCCUUGAUUUCCAUUUGUUCUUUCCAGUGCAGGCAUCAAAAGGUGCGGCGCGACUAGGACGUAAAUUUUGAUUGAAUUUCUCAAAGUUAGCCUUCAAGUUGAAGUUCAAGUCUCGGGUGUGAGAUUUAUUUCAGUACAUGCUGUGGUUAAUUCUUGUCCAUUUUAAUAAUAUGUGUUUACCAUAUGUGUUAUGACGUAUAUUUUGAGGAUAUCGCUAGGGGCCCGUAAAUAGGGUCCAGGAUUUCACAGUCCUUGGAUUGCCACAAUGCGAUUUGAGGUAUAUUUUGAGGAUGUCGCCAGGGGCCCGUAAAUAGGGUCCGGGACUUUAAAGUCCUUGGAUUGCCACAGUGCGAAUAUUGAGGAUAUAUAUGAAAUGACCAUAUGUGUUACCGUUUUAUUAACGUGGACAAUUAUUGCAUGUUCCCACACUGAGUGUACUCUGUAUGCUUAUCUCAUAUUUAACAUCUUCAGGUUUUAAAGACCGGAGACGCGUAGCUAAAAUCAAAUAUUUUGAAUUUAGCUAUACUUAAAAAUGUUAUGUUGAUUAAAGUGUUUUAAUAAAAUAUUUAUUUCUUUAUUUUCACAUUAAAUAUCUAUUUAUAGUCAUGAUUUUUCCGCGUGCGUUUUCUUUUAAAAUUAAAUUGGAUUUGGGUGUCACAAUAAGAUUUGCAAGAGAGGUAAUAGUUGCAGCCUUGCAGGAGUAUGCAGACAAGAUAAGAUUUCUUUGAAUAAAUUUUAUUAUAUAAAAAGUAUGCGCUUCUCAUAAUCUGUAGACCUAUCUUAUCAAUUUUACUCGUCAAGAAGAAAAAAUAAAAUAUGAAUUAUCAUGCUGCUGGCUCUUCUUAUAUAUUUUCUUCUUCAAGCUCAUCUAAUGAUGAGAUUGAAGGUAUACUCAAUGAAUGUGAUGUUGAACAUCAACUGAUGUCUCAACAUAUUUUGUCAAAUAAUUUCAUUGUAACAAGCCUUAUUGAAAAUCAAAAUGCUACAACAAUCCACAAAGGCUCAGUUCCUGGUCGUAGGAUGAUCCAUCGUGAUCGAGAAGCAGCUGCCCAACGCCUGUUGAAUGAUUAUUUUUAUGAAAAUCCAACAUUUAAUGAAGGAAUAUUUCGUAGACAUUUCCGAAUGUCUCGAAAUUUAUUCCUUCGUAUUGUUGAUGCUGUAAAAAAUCAUAAUAGUUACUUUCAGCAAGGAAGAGAUUGCACUGGUAGACUGGGCUUGUUCACAUUGCAAAAAAUAACCGUUGCAUUUCGGAUAUUGGCAUACGGGGUACCUGUAGAUGCCACUGAUGAGUACAUCAACAUUGGUGACUCUACUGCAUUUAAAUGUGUCAAGAAAUUUUGUCGUGCAAUUGUGGAAAUAUUUUCAAGUCAAUAUCUUAGAUCUC
Molecule: long non-coding RNA, 1551 nt
Organism: Salvia miltiorrhiza (redroot sage)
Lineage: Eukaryota; Viridiplantae; Streptophyta; Magnoliopsida; Lamiales; Lamiaceae
Exons: 2
Source: RefSeq, a predicted model, not a curated record